GAUGAACGCUGGCGGCAUGCCUAACACAUGCAAGUCGAGCGGACAGAGGAGGAGCUUGCUCCUCUGGCGUAAGCGGGGGUCGGGUGAGUAACAUGUCGAUGACAUAGCCAUAUGAAUGGGGUAACUUCCGGAAAACGGAGCUAAUACCGGAAGAUCUAUUGAACCCCAAGGAGCAAUAGUUUCAGACGGUUUUGCUGUCGCUUAUCGCUGAUUCCGGAGAGUAUUAGUUAGUUGGUCAGGUAACUGCUUACCCAGGCGACGACUGGUAGCCGACCUGAGCGGGUGAUCAGCCACACUGGAACUGAGACACGGUCCAGACUCCUACGGGAGGAAGCAGUAGGGAAUCUUCCGCAAUGGGCGAAAGCCUGAUGGAGCAACGCCGCGUGAAUGAAGAAGGCCUUCGGGUCGUAAAGUACUGUUAGUAGGGAGGAAGAAAUGAUUAUUUAACUAUGCACUUAUUGACGGUACCUGAAGAAGAAGCCACGGCUAACUACGUG
This 497-nucleotide ribosomal RNA is filed under the name uncultured bacterium. Its description in RNAcentral is "partial 16S ribosomal RNA". It matches the Rfam family "Bacterial small subunit ribosomal RNA", at positions 28 to 507 of the family's 1533-position model. The record is from RNAcentral.